This 1058-nucleotide long non-coding RNA is filed under the name Musa acuminata (dwarf banana). RNAcentral's name for it is "long non-coding RNA (MACU_LNC002351)". The record is from RNAcentral. Lineage: Eukaryota; Viridiplantae; Streptophyta; Magnoliopsida; Zingiberales; Musaceae.
AGGGGAGCCCUAAAGUAGGGAAGAUCUACUUUCUCUUUCAUUCUUCAUCACCCUCACUCUGAUACCCUUUAGGAUGCUGAUACCUCUACCUCUGCAUUUCUUCCCAAGUACCGACCACGGUAUCAGGGGACUCCUCCAAGAUGCCCUUUGGCAUGGAGAAAGAAGAUACUGUCGGCUCCUGGAUUUUACAUAGUAGGACAACCAAAACAGGCAACAUAAAGCUUAACAUGGUGCAACUUAACCUAAACACAAGAUGAACUUAAGCUCUAGUGCUGAGUUUGGCUCAGAUAUCCUAACUCAAUUCAACCUUAAGUUCAAAUCCAGGUAGUCAAGCUCAGCCUAAGCAUGCACCAAAGCACAAAUGGGCCCUUGUUUGCUAGAGUUUGGCUCAGAUAUCUUAAGUUCAAAUCCAGGAAGUCAAGCUUAGCCUAAGCAUGCACCAAAGCAAAAAUGGGCCCUUGUUUGCUAGAGCCAGACAGACUAUUCAAUAUUGUCUCCAUUACAGCCCUAACUGUAAAGCAUCUGCUUUCAGCUGUUUAGGAUGGGCAAACAACAAGGCAAAGUUUGACAAUAAAUGGUAAUGGAUGGUGAUGAUGAUUGGUCAGAAACAGUGAAUGAUGAUAUAGAUGAUAGGUGGCCUUCAAAAUUUGAACAAUUGACAGAUGGAUGGCAAUAAUUAAGUUGGAAGGUAUGACAAACUAAAAUUUAGUGAUCAAACAUUUAUCAGGCAUUUAUUUGAAGAUAACUAAAUUAUUUUCAGCAGGACUUUAUUGCAGUUGAUGCUACCGAAUCCAAUGCUUUAUGGGCUAGUGCCAUUUUACAAAUAAUGCUCUCAUGAAUUAUUGGUUUUUCCCACUUUUUUCAAAAUCUGUGGUUUUAUUAGCUCAGAUUUAGCUCCAAGUAAUAUAGUCAUUCCUAUCCUAUCAAUCACAUAUAUUUAGCAAGAUGGAGUCUGUUAAUUCGCUAACUCUCCUAAUAAUAAACUAAAAUGAUUUUUCUAACAAUAACAUGGACUGUGAUAGAUGGAAUAUGACAAAGAUGGAGUGUUGGAGUAUUUC